GCGAAGAACCUUACCUACUCUUGACAUCCAGAGAACUUUCCAGAGAUGGAUUGGUGCCUUCGGGAACUCUGAGACAGGUGCUGCAUGGCUGUCGUCAGCUCGUGUUGUGAAAUGUUGGGUUAAGUCCCGCAACGAGCGCAACCCUUAUCCUUGUUUGCCAGCGAGUAAUGUCGGGAACUCCAGGGAGACUGCCGGUGAUAAACCGGAGGAAGGUGGGGACGACGUCAAGUCAUCAUGGCCCUUACGAGUAGGGCUACACACGUGCUACAAUGGCGCAUACAGAGGGCGGCCAACUUGCGAAAGUGAGCGAAUCCCAAAAAGUGCRUMGURGUCCGGAUUGGAGUCUGCAACUCGACUCCAUGAAGUCGGAWUCG
This 374-nucleotide ribosomal RNA is filed under the name Vibrio sp. RNAcentral describes it as "bacterial SSU rRNA". It matches the Rfam family "Bacterial small subunit ribosomal RNA", at positions 961 to 1334 of the family's 1533-position model. The record is from RNAcentral. Lineage: Bacteria; Pseudomonadati; Pseudomonadota; Gammaproteobacteria; Vibrionales; Vibrionaceae.